Molecule: small RNA, 478 nt
Filed under: Pongo abelii (Sumatran orangutan)
Lineage: Eukaryota; Metazoa; Chordata; Mammalia; Primates; Hominidae
Description: processed transcript
Source: RNAcentral
UCUGAGCUGUAUGAGGGUAGAAGCAGAAGGCACCGAUCCAUAGAGCCUCUGAAAACAAUAAGCCUCCUCAGGCAGAUGCAGGCCCAGAUAAAGAGCUGACCCUUCCUGUGGAUAGCACAACCCUGGAUGGCAGCAAGAGCUCAGAUGAUCAGAAAAUUAUCUCAUAUCUCUGGGAAAAAACACAGGGACCUGAUGGGGUGCAGCUCGAGAAUGCUAACAGCAGUAUUGCCACUGUGACUGGGCUGCAAGUGGGGACCUAUGUGUUCACCUUGACUGUCAAAGAUGAGAGGAACCUGCAAAGCCAGAGCUCUGUGAAUGUCAUUGUCAAAGAAGAAAUAAACAAACCACCUAUAGCCAAGAUAACUGGGAAUGUGGUGAUUACCUUACCCACGAGCACAGCAGAGCUGGAUGGCUCUAAGUCCUCAGAUGACAAGGGAAUAGUCAGCUACCUCUGGACUCGAGAUGAGGGGAGCCCAGC